GAUGGUGUAUAGCCAAAACAACAAUUGGAUACUGCUCUGAUUUAAAUAUUAUACAAUGCUCAAAUGUUAUACACAAACAGGAUCAAGAUGAACACAUAUUGCACAAGCAUUGAUAAUAUGUUCACAAACAUAAAUAUAUAUUGAUCAGAAGUUCAAAAACAAGACAAUCUUGACAAAGCAAAGUUUGGCCAUUUUGACCACCAUCCAGAAAACACAAGCCACAUAAAAGGACCACUAUUUACUGUUCUAAAAGUGUUCAGCCACUAAAUGUUCCAAAACACUUAAGUCACACCCAUGAGCACAAGAUAUAUGCUCCAAAACACUUGAAGUAGCAAAUGGUCCAGAACACACAUAAGAUUCAUGAUCACAAGUUGGCUGGUCCAAAAUACUGGAAACAGCCAAAUGCUGCAGAACACUCCAAAGUCAUCACAUCCAUGCGCAGUAGGUGGCUGAGUACCUGAAAAUAUUCCACACGAUCUUAAUGAUAACAGUCUAAUGAAAAUAUGCUCAGUUAAUAUCUAACAUAAGUGCAAAUAUAAUUUUGUAUUGAAACCUAAUUAAGAUAGACAUGUAUCAAAUGCUUUAUUCCAAAGUGGAUUCAUAAAAGUUAUUAAUAAUAUGGAGGAAAUUGUCAUAGGUAUCUUGAGGCUUUCGGUCAAAUUCUCAUAUGUUCCAACUGAAUGCGGCUGCAAACAUAAAUGUGUGGGUGAAAAGAAAUGGUCAAAUUCUCAUAUAUUCACCCAAAUGAUUUUGUGCACUUCAAAGUUUGAAAAUAAAUGUGAAAAACAAUUGUGGUCGUAUGUUAUCUGAUGAACUAGAAUUAAAAUGUACAGCUUCAGACCAAAAAAACUGCAGUAUGUGAAGUUCUGUAUACGCCAUGUCAUCUUUAGAUUGUGACCAUCAAAGUGUUAACACGAAACUAAUUAGAAAGUAGGCCAAGCGACUCCAAGCAUGUCUUACAUAUAUGCUAACUACGGAGCAAUGUAUAUGAGCAUCAGAUUACAUCAUGUGAUUUCAUAUUUUUAAUUUUAAAACUGCAGUAUGUGGAGUUCAGUUCUAUAUACAAGACACAAAAAGUAAUCUAAUGAUGCUAUUUCUUAUGCCAACUUCUUAUAUACCAGACACAAAACAUACUCACAUCUCUUAUUUCUUAUGCAAACUAUUCCAGUUCAUAGGCUGCUUCUUCCACUGCACGUUGCUCUGAAAAUGUGAAGACAUGCAUCAACCACCCUGUAAAAAUGAAAACUAUGUUUAAUAAUAUAGAUAACUCGGCUGACCAUCAAUCAAAUUAGAAAGUAGGCCAAGGGACUGCAAG
RNAcentral lists this long non-coding RNA (1315 nucleotides) under Triticum aestivum (bread wheat). Its description in RNAcentral is "long non-coding RNA (TAES_LNC006755)". The record is from RNAcentral. Lineage: Eukaryota; Viridiplantae; Streptophyta; Magnoliopsida; Poales; Poaceae.